UGUUGUUGUUGUUGUGUUGUUGUUAUGUUUUGGGAUCUUGUUAAAGUAUUCCGUUUGGCGAUCGUCGUCUGCGAUUGCGAAUGUCACCAUGGGAAUUCACAUCAAAUAACAGUGAACAGCCAGCCGGAGGAUGAGUGAAAAUUUGAGGCAGGAUGCAGCAUUUUGAGAGUUGCUCCAACUUUUAACAAGACCUUGGAGAGAGCAUCUACAGAUCCAUCCAGAGCUUUUCUGACUUGUAAUGCUUCGGAGAGACUAAGACUGAGAGAGUACAAUGGACUCACCAAACCUAAACUUGUGAAAGAUGGACCUGGAGACCGAGGUGGGAGAGACACUUUGCCUGAGUAGAUUCAUCAGAAUGGACUUCCCUACACCCCUGGGCGCUCCCUGGAUCCUCAGUGACAUCUUCUUUGGAAAAUACUACUCCAAGUUUGAUUGAGUGAACAACCCACGCAGGUUUUGCUGACCCUGUCAAGGGUGUGUAAUUAAGGCUGAGUAUAAGAAACCUGCUUUGUAAUUUGGAAAAAAAUACUAUUUUUAAGUAAAAAUUAAUUGGCCAAACAAAAAUAUAACCAUGUUUUCAGUAUGGGUAACUAUCAGAAUAAUGGAAAAAUUACUAUAUUUUUAAAAUUAUUUUACUUUUUUUUAGUGCAAUUGUAAACAUAACUUUAUUUUUGUAUGUCUCAUUUAUUACAAAAAUAUUGGCCACAUGUUACCCAAACUCAGUGUACCAUUAAGUUUUUGUUUGACCAACUGUGGAAAAAAACAUUUUUUUUUUUUUUUUUGCCAACUUAAAAAAAAAAGUGGGCACAGAAAUGUUGCCCACCUGUGUACUUACCUGUUUUUUCUUUGGUGUAAUGGGAAACAUUACUUUAUUUUUGUUUGGCCAAGAUAUCAAAUUAGUGUAAUGUAGGAAGUAAAGGCUACCUCUAAUUGUUUGGUCUAACUGUGAAAAAAAACCAUGCUGCCCAUCCACUACCAACCCAUUUGUCAGAGGAAUGGAAAAAUCUUUUUAUUUGGGCAGACUUUGAAGAAGAAAAAAAGUUAAAAAGAUGUUGUCCACCUGUGUACUUGCCCUUUUUCAGUGUAAUGGGAAACAUAACUUUAUUUUUGUUUGGCCAUACUAUUUACGCAGAAUAAUGUGGCCCACCUGUUACCCAAAUUCAGUGUUAUAAGAAACAUGGUUAUAUUUUUGUAUGCCCCACCUGAAAAUAAACAAAAAUUAAGUGGCCCUCUUUUUGCUUUUCAGCGUAACAGGAAACAUGGCUAUCUUUUUGUUUGGCCUUCAAAAGAGUAAAAAACAUUGCCUACCUACCACCUUACUCAUUUACAGUGCCAUGGAAAACAUGACUAUCUUGUUAUUUGGCCAAACUUUGAAAAAAGAAAAAAAAGAAAGAGACGUUGCCCCCUGUUACCCAAAUUCAUUGUAACAUUAUUAUAUUUUUGUUUGGCCCAACUAUCCAAUUAUUGUAACAGAUAGGAAACAUUGCUACCGAUUUUCCGCCCCAAAAACAUGCUGCCCAUCCACUUACCUACCCAUUUUCAGAAUGAUGGAAAAAUUCCACCUAUUAAAGAUGCUAUGUCAGAUUUUUGGCCCAAAACAUUAAAAAGUAGAUUUUUUU
This is a long non-coding RNA of Asterias rubens (European starfish), 1619 nucleotides long. RefSeq lists it as uncharacterized. The record is from RefSeq and is a predicted model, not a curated record. NCBI's taxonomy places the organism in Eukaryota, Metazoa, Echinodermata, Asteroidea, Forcipulatida, Asteriidae. The transcript has 3 exons.